Molecule: small RNA, 936 nt
Filed under: Marquandomyces marquandii
Lineage: Eukaryota; Fungi; Ascomycota; Sordariomycetes; Hypocreales; Clavicipitaceae
Description: SSU rRNA
Rfam family: Eukaryotic small subunit ribosomal RNA
Source: RNAcentral
GAUAGUACCUUACUACUUGGAUAACCGUGGUAAUUCUAGAGCUAAUACAUGCUAAAAAUCCCGACUUCGGAAGGGAUGUAUUUAUUAGAUUAAAAACCAAUGCCCUCUGGGCUCCUUGGUGAUUCAUGAUAACUUCUCGAAUCGCAAACCGGCCUUGCGCCGGCGAUGGUUCAUUCAAAUUUCUUCCCUAUCAACUUUCGAUGUUUGGGUAGUGGCCAAACAUGGUUGCAACGGGUAACGGAGGGUUAGGGCUCGACCCCGGAGAAGGAGCCUGAGAAACGGCUACUACAUCCAAGGAAGGCAGCAGGCGCGCAAAUUACCCAAUCCCGAUUCGGGGAGGUAGUGACAAUAAAUACUGAUACAGGGCUCUAAUUUGGGUCUUGUAAUUGGAAUGAGUACAAUUUAAAUCCCUUAACGAGGAACAAUUGGAGGGCAAGUCUGGUGCCAGCAGCCGCGGUAAUUCCAGCUCCAAUAGCGUAUAUUAAAGUUGUUGUGGUUAAAAAGCUCGUAGUUGAACCUUGGGCCUGGCUGGCCGGUCCGCCUCACCGCGUGUACUGGUCCGGCCGGGCCUUUCCCUCUGUGGAACCCCAUGCCCUUCACUGGGCGUGGCGGGGAAACAGGACUUUUACUUUGAAAAAAUUAGAGUGCUCCAGGCAGGCCUAUGCUCGAAUACAUUAGCAUGGAAUAAUGAAAUAGGACGUGCGGUUCUAUUUUGUUGGUUUCUAGGACCGCCGUAAUGAUUAAUAGGGACAGUCGGGGGCAUCAGUAUUCAAUUGUCAGAGGUGAAAUUCUUGGAUUUAUUGAAGACUAACUACUGUUGCCAAGGAUGUUUUCAUUAAUCAGGAACGAAAGUUAGGGGAUCGAAGACGAUCAGAUACCGUCGUAGUCUUAACCAUAAACUAUGCCGACUAGGGAUCGGACGAUGUUAAAUUUUGA